AGCGGAGGAAAAGAAACU
This 18-nucleotide non-coding RNA is filed under the name Arabidopsis thaliana (thale cress). The record is from RNAcentral. RNAcentral also lists the same sequence under 1 other name. Lineage: Eukaryota; Viridiplantae; Streptophyta; Magnoliopsida; Brassicales; Brassicaceae.